AUUGAACGCUGGCGGCAGGCCUAACACAUGCAAGUCGAGCGGAUGAAGGCAGCUUGCUCCUGGAUUCAGCGGCGGACGGGUGAGUAAUGCCUAGGAAUCUGCCUGGUAGUGGGGGAUAACGUCCGGAAACGGGCGCUAAUACCGCAUACGUCCUGAGGGAGAAAGUGGGGGAUCUUCGGACCUCACGCUAUCAGAUGAGCCUAGGUCGGAUUAGCUAGUUGGUGGGGUAAAGGCCUACCAAGGCGACGAUCCGUAACUGGUCUGAGAGGAUGAUCAGUCACACUGGAACUGAGACACGGUCCAGACUCCUAAGGGAGGCAGCAGUGGGGAAUAUUGGACAAUGGGCGAAAGCCUGAUCCAGCCAUGCCGCGUGUGUGAAGAAGGUCUUCGGAUUGUAAAGCACUUUAAGUUGGGAGGAAGGGCAGUAAGUUAAUACCUUGCUGUUUUGACGUUACCAACAGAAUAAGCACCGGCUAACUUCGUG
This 484-nucleotide ribosomal RNA is filed under the name uncultured bacterium. RNAcentral's name for it is "partial 16S ribosomal RNA". It matches the Rfam family "Bacterial small subunit ribosomal RNA", at positions 30 to 507 of the family's 1533-position model. The record is from RNAcentral.